This 440-nucleotide ribosomal RNA is filed under the name uncultured bacterium. Its description in RNAcentral is "partial 16S ribosomal RNA". It matches the Rfam family "Bacterial small subunit ribosomal RNA", at positions 338 to 795 of the family's 1533-position model. The record is from RNAcentral.
ACUACGGGUGGCAGCAGUGGGGAAUAUUGCACAAUGGGGGAAACCCUGAUGCAGCGACGCCGCGUGAGUGAAGAAGUAUUUCGGUACGUAAAGCUCUAUCAGCAGGGAAGAAAAUGACGGUACCUGACUAAGAAGCCCCGGCUAACUACGUGCCAGCAGCCGCGGUAAUACGUAGGGGGCAAGCGUUAUCCGGAUUUACGGGGGGUACAGGGAGCGUAGACGGCAGCGCAAGUCUGAAGUGAAAUCCAAUGGCUUAACCAUGGAACUGCUUUGGAAACUGGGCAGCUGGAGUGCAGGAGAGGUAAGCGGAAUUCCUAGUGUAGCGGUGAAAUGCGUAGAUAUUAGGAGGAACACCAGUGGCGAAGGCGGCUUACUGGACUGUAACUGACGUUGAGGCUCGAAAGCGUGGGGAGCAAACAGGAUUAGAUACCCCGGUAGUC